RNAcentral lists this ribosomal RNA (560 nucleotides) under uncultured Synergistota bacterium. RNAcentral's name for it is "bacterial SSU rRNA". It matches the Rfam family "Bacterial small subunit ribosomal RNA", at positions 62 to 644 of the family's 1533-position model. Lineage: Bacteria; Thermotogati; Synergistota. The record is from RNAcentral.
UCGAAAGGGAGUAUUGAAGAAGCUUGCUUUAGAGAUACUUUAGUGGCGGACGGGUGAGUAACGCGUGAGGAGCUGUCCUAUGCAGGGGGACAACAGUUGGAAACGACUGCUAAUACCCCAUAAGCCGAGAGGUAAAAGGARYKAUCCGGCAGAGGAGGUACUCGCGUCCUAUCAGCUAGUAGGUGAGGUAACGGCUCACCUAGGCGAAGACGGGUAGCCGGCCUGAGAGGGYCGAACGGCCACACUGGAACUGAGAUACGGUCCAGACUCCUACGGGAGGCAGCAGUGGGGAAUAUUGGGCAAUGGGGGGAACCCUGACCCAGCGACGCCGCGUGGGUGAAGAAAUCCCUCGGGAUGUAAAGCCCUGUUGUAUGGGAAGAGCAGAAGACGGUACCAUACGAGGAAGCCCCGGCAAACUACGUGCCAGCAGCCGCGGUAAUACGUAGGGGGCAAGCGUUGUCCGGAAUUACUGGGCGUAAAGCGCACGCAGGCUGAAUUAUAAGUCGGUAGUCAAAURCGGAGGCUCAACUUCCGUAUAUCUAUCGAUACUGUAAAUCUAG